GACGAACGCUGGCGGCGUGCUUAACACAUGCAAGUCGAACGGAAAGGCCCUGCUUUUGUGGGGUGCUCGAGUGGCGAACGGGGGAUUAACACGUGAGUAACCUGCCCUUGACUUUGGGAUAAAUUCAGGAAACUGGGGCUAAUACCCGAUAGGAGCUCCUGCUGCAUGGUGGGGGUGGGCAAGUUUCGGCGGUUGGGGAUGGACUGGCGGCUUAUCAGCUUGUUGGUGGGGUAGUGGCUUACCACGGCUUUGACCGGUAGCGCGCCUGAGAGGAUGACCGGCCACAUUGGAACUGGGAUACGGCACAGACUCCUACGGGAGGCAGCAGUGGGGAAUAGUGCACAAUGGGCGGAAGCCUGAUGCAGUGACGCCGCGUGCGGGAUGACGGCCUUCGGGUUGUAAACCGCUGUCGCCUGUGACGAAGCGUGAGUGACGGUAAUGGGUAAAGAAGCACCGGCUAACUACGUG
This 468-nucleotide ribosomal RNA is filed under the name uncultured bacterium. RNAcentral describes it as "partial 16S ribosomal RNA". It matches the Rfam family "Bacterial small subunit ribosomal RNA", at positions 28 to 507 of the family's 1533-position model. The record is from RNAcentral.